GGCAAAUACUCGCUACUUUUUUUCAACUCUAAUGGGAAAAAAAACAUUUUCAGGCUUCCUGCACCUGUGCCGGCUAUGUUCUAAGUUUCUAAAAUAAAAAAAAAAAUGCGUUGAAAAUGCCCUUGUCUAUCACUCGGUCUGUGGAGCUGAGUUGUUAUUUCAUUUCUUUUCAACUGAAUUCAUAGUCCAAAUUUACUCAUAUCUUAGAUCUGUAUUUUUGUUCAAACAUUUUAUAAUACUGCCUAAAACUAUCCGUCUGCUCCUUUUUUUUUUUUUUUUUUUUAAAUUGUUUGUUUAGUUUCAUAAGUUUAUCGACAACAAGGAAAUAAUAGAGAUCUGAACUAGUUUCCGAUGUGUCCUUAUUAAGGUUAUGAUAACUCUAGUUUCAACACCUUAUCGGUUAUCGUUCUUGGCCUUUGGUAAGCACACAUCGGUUGUUGGACACUCGCUUAAACGGCUCAUUGAACUGCUGAAGUACCACGAGCCUUAACGUGUGCUGGCCACUGCUGACAUGACACGGCCCUCUUCAUGUAAUCUCUUCCGAGGUCAACAUCUGUCACUUUUUUUUUAGUAGAUCGAUACGCGCGAUUGUUUUGUCAACAAUAGGUUCUGAUAAUCUGGGUAGGACACUCUGGCGAUUUAUAAGUUCUGAUAAUCUGGGUAGGACACUCUGGCGAUUUAUAAGUUCUGAUAAU
Molecule: non-coding RNA, 695 nt
Organism: Biomphalaria pfeifferi
Lineage: Eukaryota; Metazoa; Mollusca; Gastropoda; Planorbidae
Source: the annotation of a GenBank genome assembly